Molecule: long non-coding RNA, 1768 nt
Organism: Dinoponera quadriceps
Lineage: Eukaryota; Metazoa; Arthropoda; Insecta; Hymenoptera; Formicidae
Exons: 4
Source: RefSeq, a predicted model, not a curated record
UUGCAAGGGAGAUUCUCGUUCGAUCCCGAGAUUUUUUCUCCAUUAACAACACGAAACAACGUCGUUAACGAGGAAGAAGAAGAAACUAUAAAAAAUAUUUCAAUUGAGGUAGAAGUUAUUGUCAUCUCCAAUGACGACGACGCAACGACGGCAACAACAACGACAACGAUGAUGAUGAUGGCUACGUCCUUGCACGCGUCAAUCGUGUUGACGACGAGGACGAGGAAGAUGCUGACGAUGAAGAGAACGAAGCCGAAAACGGUAAUAGUACCGUUAACAUUAACGACGGUACUGACCGCGACGACGACAACGAUGACGACGAGGACGUCGACGAUGGUUCAAGAGGAAAUGUAGAACAAGUUUACCAAGACGAUAUCAACAACGAUUCAGCGUUUGGCAUACCGAACGAUUUUUACGACGCCGAGGAAGACGUCGUCAACGACAACGUACCCUUACCGUAUUCGAGAGUUGUUCCUCGGAGAACGAGUUUUAGAAGUUGAUUAUUCCCCGGUUAGUCGAACUUCUGUUGACGACGAGACACCUCCAUAUCUUCCGGGAUUUCCUCGUCCCGGUACAACCGAAUGGGAGAAUAUUAGGGAGAGAGUAUGAUGGACGGAAAACGGGAUCGUACUCGAGUUCCCUCCAUAAUUCCUCCCUUUAAUUCGGGUUAUGAACCCGAAGAAUGAACCGUCAGAGACGACGGCCUCAUCACCUGAAAGAUAAAUUAACACAUUGCGGAUCGCUAAGAAAUCUGUAAGACAUACGCCCGGGACCGCACGUUUUUGGCACAAUGGGGAGGUUUACGAGGACGUCGUACACCAUCUAAAACACCGGCGCGGUCAGCUUUAGCCAGACCGGAGAGUAAAGAGUAGAAAAGAAAGAAACUGAAAUGGAGAAGUGGAGAAGAAGGAAAAGGAAGAACCACUCCCGGGUCCGAGUCGAGAGGACGGUAUAAUCGUUACUGUUAUAUAGAGAUACAAGGGGAAAAUACGCAAAAUUUUAGAAAUUUUAAUAUUUUAAGGUGGAAGGCGAUCGUAAAAAUUCUCACUCUCCCCGAAGUCGACGUUACGUUAUAUUUAGAAAACGCGUUCUGCGAAAUCCUGACAUACGCGGUUAAUUCCUCCGCCGCGAACGACUACGUUAGAUUGUCGAUUGCUUCAUCAGAUUUAACACGCGGUCCAGCGGGUUUGUUAUUUCGUCCGGCGUGUGAUUUAACCUUCGAGAGUAUCUGAUAUCUUGCGAGUUCACUAGUACAAAAUGCCGGAGAACUCAUUAUCACGGAGAAUUUUAAUAUAACUGUAUACAAUAUCGAGACACUUUCGGGGUGGAGCAGAAAAUCAAAUAAAUUGACACAUAAGGAUGUCGCGAAACGCUCAAUUUUAAACAUCAAUAAUACCGAUAAUUUGUACUUUCCGCAUUCGCUCGUCGCAGCAUGGGUUUACUGCAAACGCGGUGACGUGCGAACGGGAGAAUUGCAUAACUAAUGGAACGCUAUAAGAUUCGCGCAUUCCUCGUUACAACGCCAGUUGAUGGAAGAAUUAACGAGGAAUACUGGGGUGAUCAUUCCCGAGUAAGGUUGCGGUAUUCCCGAAAUUGAGCGUUUUCAGAGCUAUCUUUAAGAUAAAGAAGUCGCGAUCGUUAUUUAUAAUUUUAGUAGUGCUCGCGGUGUCCCGCCGAUGUAUGACGGGCAUACGAUGCUUACCUCCCUUGUCCGCGAGGUAAAAUAGAGAUUAAAUAUUUUAUAUUAUGAACAUUCACGCAAUUUUAA